CACGUAGGCGGUCUGUUAUGUCGGAUGUGAAAGCCUUGGCUUAACCGAGGAAGUGCAUCCGAAACUGGCAGGCUAGAGUACUAAAGAGGGUCGCGGAAUUCCCGGUGUAGAGGUGAAAUUCGUAGAUAUCGGGAGGAACACCGGUGGCGAAGGCGGCGACCUGGGUAGAUACUGACGCUGAGGUGCGAAAGCGUGGGGAGCAAACA
RNAcentral lists this ribosomal RNA (206 nucleotides) under uncultured bacterium. RNAcentral's name for it is "partial 16S ribosomal RNA". It matches the Rfam family "Bacterial small subunit ribosomal RNA", at positions 568 to 774 of the family's 1533-position model. The record is from RNAcentral.